CCUACGGGAGGCAGCAGUGAGGAAUCUUCCACAAUGGACGAAAGUCUGAUGGAGCGACACCGCGUGAAGGAUGAAGGUCUAACGAUUGUAAACUUCUUUUCUGAGGGAGCAUAAUGAGAGUACUUCAGGAAUAAGGGACGGCUAAAUACGUGCCAGCAGCCGCGGUAAUACGUAUGUCUCAAGCGUUACCCGGAAUCACUGGGUGUAAAGGGUUCGUAGGUGGAAUUUUAAGUCAGGUAUGAAAGACCGGAGCUCAACUCCGUGUUUGUAUUUGAAACUGGAGUUCUAGAAUUAGGGAGAGGUAAGCGGAAUUCUAAGUGUAGGGGUGCAAUCCGUAGAUACUUAGAAGAACACCAAAAGCGAAGGCAGCUUACUGGAACUAUAUUGACGCUAAUGAACGAAAGCGUGGGGAGCAAAAAGGAUUAGAUACCCUGGUAGUC
This 440-nucleotide ribosomal RNA is filed under the name Weissella confusa. Its description in RNAcentral is "bacterial SSU rRNA". It matches the Rfam family "Bacterial small subunit ribosomal RNA", at positions 338 to 795 of the family's 1533-position model. Lineage: Bacteria; Bacillati; Bacillota; Bacilli; Lactobacillales; Lactobacillaceae. The record is from RNAcentral.